GGCCCUGUGGCGCAGAUGGUCAGCGCGUCGCCCUGUCAAGGCGAAGGUCGCGGGUUCAAGUCCCGUCAGGGUCG
Molecule: transfer RNA, 74 nt
Filed under: Pseudonocardiaceae bacterium
Lineage: Bacteria; Bacillati; Actinomycetota; Actinomycetes; Pseudonocardiales; Pseudonocardiaceae
Also listed under: 1 other name
Description: tRNA-Asp
Rfam family: tRNA
About the family: Transfer RNA (tRNA) molecules are approximately 80 nucleotides in length. Their secondary structure includes four short double-helical elements and three loops (D, anti-codon, and T loops).
Source: RNAcentral